UCCUACGGGAGGCAGCAGUAGGGAAUCUUCCGCAAUGGACGAAAGUCUGACGGAGCAACGCCGCGUGAGUGAUGAAGGCUUUCGGGUCGUAAAACUCUGUUGUUAGGGAAGAACAAGUGCUAGUUGAAUAAGCUGGCACCUUGACGGUACCUAACCAGAAAGCCACGGCUAACUACGUGCCAGCAGCCGCGGUAAUACGUAGGUGGCAAGCGUUAUCCGGAAUUAUUGGGCGUAAAGCGCAUGCAGGUGGUUUGUUAAGUCAGAUGUGAAAGCCCGGGGCUCAACCUCGGAAUUGCAUUUGAAACUGGCAAACUAGAGUACUGUAGAGGGGGGUAGAAUUUCAGGUGUAGCGGUGAAAUGCGUAGAGAUCUGAAGGAAUACCAGUGGCGAAGGCGGCCCCCUGGACAAAGACUGACGCUCAGAUGCGAAAGCGUGGGGAGCAAACAGGAUUAGAUACCCUGGUAGUCCACGCCGUAAACGAUGUCUACUUGGAGGUUGUGGCCUUGAGCCGUGGCUUUCGGAGCUAACGCGUUAAGUAGACCGCCUGGGGAGUACGGUCGCAAGAUUAAAACUCAAAUG
RNAcentral lists this ribosomal RNA (579 nucleotides) under uncultured bacterium. RNAcentral's name for it is "bacterial SSU rRNA". It matches the Rfam family "Bacterial small subunit ribosomal RNA", at positions 337 to 907 of the family's 1533-position model. The record is from RNAcentral.